GAGUUUGAUCGUGGCUCAGAUUGAACGCUGGCGGCAGGCUUAACACAUGCAAGUCGAGCGGGGGAGGUUGCUUCGGUAACUGACCUAGCGGCGGACGGGUGAGUAAUACUUAGGAAUCUGCCUAUUAAUGGGGACAACAUCUCGAAAGGGAUGCUAAUACCGCAUACGCCCUACGGGGAAAGCAGGGGAUCACUUGUGACCUUGCGUUAAUAGAUGAGCCUAAGUCGGAUUAGCUAGUUGGUGGGUAAAGGCCUACCAAGGCGACGAUCUGUAGCGGGUCUGAGAGGAUGAUCCGCCACACUGGGACUGAGACACGGCCCAGACUCCUACGGGAGGCAGCAGUGGGGAAUAUUGGACAAAUGGGGGGAACCCCUGAUCCAGCCAUGCCGCGUGUGUGAAGAAGGCCUUAUGGUUGUAAAGCACUUUAAGCGAGGAGGAGGCUCUUCUAGUUAAUACCUAGGAUGAGUGGACGUUACUCGCAGAAUAAGCACCGGCUAACUCUGUGCCA
Molecule: ribosomal RNA, 508 nt
Filed under: uncultured microorganism
Description: bacterial SSU rRNA
Rfam family: Bacterial small subunit ribosomal RNA
Source: RNAcentral